Molecule: RNA transcript, 2205 nt
Organism: Helianthus annuus (common sunflower)
Lineage: Eukaryota; Viridiplantae; Streptophyta; Magnoliopsida; Asterales; Asteraceae
Gene name: tryptophan aminotransferase-related protein 4-like
Exons: 10
Source: RefSeq, a predicted model, not a curated record
CUUUGGCCAGAGAAUUAUGUUUUAGGCGGCAUUUUCUUUCUCUCCAUUCUCCUUCACUUUCACGAGUGCCUAAUUUGUUCCAUAAAUUUGAAAUCAGUUUUCUUUCCAUCUUAAUUCCAAUAAAAAAACCCUAAUCAAAGCUUAUUUCACCAUCGAUCUUUCUGUUGGUUCUCUUCCGUUGUUUUCUCCAAACCCUAGAAUUGAUUGUUCUUUGUUGAGGCUUGAUCUAGAGCUCGAAUUGAUUGUUCUUUGUUUCAGCCAAACCAUUCACAACCCUAAUUUUCAUCUAUCUCCUAUUCGUGUAAGCGAUGAUGGCUAUUGAACAAACCCUAGAUGAUGGCGAUUGAAGAAACCGAACAAACCAUGAAGAACCCUAAUUAUAUGCUUAUAAACUGCAGUAGGUGGAGUAUAUAAUCAGUUGAUCCUUUGAAACUACUUCUACAAGGUUGUUGGAACAAGAAGAAUGGUCAGCAAGUUUUUCUUAAACACCAAUUCCAUGUACCGAUUCAAGAUUUAGGGUUUUUUCGUUCAACUUUAUACAUGAGAUUUCUCACUCAAUCAAGUCAGGAUUUAGAGAGGAUAUGAAGAAAAGCAGGCACGUUUCAAGUAACGCACGCAAAAGUUGAGAAGGAGAUGGCUUCGGUUCAAGGGCAAUUGGGAUUAUCAGGUGAAAUAUUGGAGAUCUGAUUUGACUCUGUUUUCACAUGGCAUUUUUCAUCUGUUUUGAAAGAGGAGCAACAAAUGGUGAUGCUUGGACAUCGAUAAUCAAACCUUCAGAAGGAAGGAACUAAAUCGAUACAUCCCGACUGGUGUUAAUAUAGGACUUUGUCUGACAGGUUAUUGACAAAUGUGGAAAAAAGAGCUGGUAGGUAUAAACAGAUUUUGGUCAAGCCAAAUGUAUUUGAGAAAUAUCAUAUAUACCCAAUUUUUGGAUGCGCUUUUGUGUUCUUAUCUUCGAAUUGACAGAGGUUAAACUGAAGACACUGGCUGAAAUCGAUGCACAAGGAAAGAUUCUUCCUAAGUUUUUAGUUCGUUCGAAAUUCAUAUUUUAUAGGUUUUCAUUUCGUUUCUGUUCUAAAUAUGCAGGAUACUAAUGGCGAUUUUAAUUUCUUGAAGUCAGGGUUGCACAAAUGGGCGGGUGAUGCAUACGAGUUUAAUAAAAAAGAACCCUACAUUGAGCUCGUGACUUCUCCAAACAACCCUAAUGGAUUCACGAGACAUGAUGUAGUCAAAGGAGAUAAGGGGAUUCUGAUUGAUGAUCUUGCUUUUUACCAGCCACAAUAUACACUGAUUUUAUCUCUUGUAGAGUAUGAUAUAAUGAUUUUAUCGCUUCAAUCAAGAGGGAACGUUUUUGAUGUACGUUUGAUCUGUUUAUCACCAAUCGAGGUAACUUUUUUUAUAUUAGUUCUCGAUUUGUUGUUUAGCAUCUUUAAACUCGCAUGAUUAUGUUUAAUGGAAAGUUGUAUUCUGUAAAAGAUUGGAUAUUAGUUCUCGAUUUGUUGUUUAGCCUCUUUAAACUCGCAUGAUUAAUUUUAAAAGUAUUAGUGCAGUGAUUUUUUUAGUGAAAUUGUAUACGAAACCUUUCAUUUGAAUUUUAAAUUGUUUUAUAACUUAUAAACUUAAUACCGGCCAACUCCAUCAUACUGGCAAUAUCUCCCGCUAAUCAGGAUAUUGCCACAUCGGAUGCAAUUAAACAUGCCAAAGAAGUGAGUAUUUUGCUACAAGUCCUGACUACGAUCAUUUGGCCAAUAAAAUGGGUUCUGAGUAUUAGGCAAAACUUUUAUCUGAGCAUUUGGAAUGGGUAAUCAAAUCAAAAUUACUAGGCAUUGUUUCCAUGAUCAACAAAUGUAUCAAGGAGAUGGAAGCAGAGUUGGACCGUCUUGGGAGGCUAAUUGUAGUAGAUGCAAGGGCACAAUUAUACACCAUCUUGGAACUUUUUCAUGCUUUUGACAAAAUAUUUAAGGAGCAUCUAGAUGGAGGGUAAGUGUCACACCCCGACCGAUGGCGGAAUCAUCGGGGCGCGACACUGAACGAAAGAGAUUGUCCAUGAGUAUCCAUAACAACUAUUAAUUACCAGAUACUUAAAACGUCAUGUCCCAUACCAUAACAUAUCCAAAUAAAACAGUUAUUACAAAUAAUUGUCUCAUAAACAAAUACUGAUCCGACAACUCAGAUUUCAAGAACAGACAAUUCGUUUAUUUGUUU